This 1590-nucleotide ribosomal RNA is filed under the name Triticum aestivum (bread wheat). Its description in RNAcentral is "partial small subunit ribosomal RNA". Lineage: Eukaryota; Viridiplantae; Streptophyta; Magnoliopsida; Poales; Poaceae. The record is from RNAcentral.
AUGAAUGAGCAUAGUGAUUGUAUCAUGCCUUCUAUUGGCUGGGUCAAAUUCCCUCGCGUGAGCCAGUCCUGCUGCAUCGCGUGUCGCGUCGCGCGCAGGCUGGGUCUUUGCGUCGCCGGGACGUUGCGGAGGGGUUGGCGGACACAUAUGCACCCGGUUUUUUGCACCCGCAUCUGUGCUAUACCGAUGAUCGGUGGGCCAGUGCUUUCCUGGGCCCGCUCGUCGGCUGCGCUGGCUGCCCAUACCCCGGUGUGGGUUAGAGUUUCUUCUGUGGAUGCGCGUCUCGUCGGGGUAGCCGUGUCGUCGGUUUGUUUGGUGCUGGAGAGAGUUGUGGGCCUGACUCGUGCGUUGUGCUCUGCCCGACUCCUGCGCCAUGCCGCGUCUCGUCUACGACAGCAGGAGCGUGCGCCCUCUCUCAUCCUCGCUCCUCCCUUCCUGGUCAACACAGCCGCUGCGCCACCUCCGUCCUCCGGUCCUCCCUUCCCCCCUGCAGCCCCAGCUCACGAGGAAGCCGCGGGAGGAGCAGCUCAACCAGGCGUCGCCGGCCGGAGAAGGAGGAGAGGCGCGGAUGCCAGCCAGGGAGGCGGAUCGGCUCGCCUCCGCCUCUGCAUCCACCUUGCUGCUCAUGGCAGCAUGUGUGCGGAAGCGGGGACAGGCGACCACGAGCAGAUGUCAUCGGCGGACGCACGGUGCGCGAAGUCCGGUAAGAUGGGCGCGGCCUCCCCGCAGGCGUUUCAAGAUGCCGUGCCCGACGGCUCGGAAUGCGCGUGCCUGGCAUAUAGGAGGUAUGCCUCAGAGCAAGCUGGCGGCAACGUGCACCGCGAGGCCCCAGAGCAGCCCAACCAGUACAUAGCCCCUCCGUACUGGAGGAACCCUGCCGCCGACGCAGCCAGCGACGGCGACGCGUAUGAGAGCUCGGCCUUGGUGGCCCGCGAGCCGUACGGGAGGAUCACGUCCGCGCUCGAGGGCAGCAACAAGCGCAGCACGAGGAGGUGCGCCUGGUCUGCAACGACGCAAGAUGAAGAUACGCUGCCGGACUCCCUCUUUACUUCGGGUUGCAUCUUGCCCGUGAGCUUCUUCUGCCAGCUUGGCCCUUUUCUUGCCAUGUUUUUGGGUGUUCCUUCCUAUAGCCAGCUUGGCCAUUUGCUUUUUAUGGUGAAUGCAGUGGACUAUUCAAGAUCGAGGGCACCAACGGCAUAUGCUGAGGGCGUCCAUCAACAACCCGCCCAAUGUCCGGAUUCACCGAGGAGUACAACCGGAGACACUGUCGGCUGCCUGCAGGUCAAUCCAAUAAUGUCAUGCGUUCCUCAGCAGGCGCCAAGCCCCCCGACACCAAGCCGUCUGUUCUUCUCUCUGCCCGAAGAAGGAUUAUGGUUCUCCACCUCUCUGCUACUCAUAUUAAAAUUCCGUGUAUUUCUAGCUGGAAUUGCACGUAUAUCUUACAAAUUUACAUUGCAACAAAUUAAGAAGGAGAAUAGAAGUAUUUGCAGCCAUCUAACAUAUGGUAUUUUUCAAAAAGCUCAAGAUGUGUGCCGCUCCUCGCCUGGUGUUAGUUUCUGCAUGCUUCUCUCCAUGGUCCUCUUUAUUUAG